Molecule: long non-coding RNA, 1579 nt
Organism: Bombus huntii
Lineage: Eukaryota; Metazoa; Arthropoda; Insecta; Hymenoptera; Apidae
Exons: 3
Source: RefSeq, a predicted model, not a curated record
CUUCCCUCCAACAUACUUUUCUCGCCACUCGCCGAAUACAUAAUAUCCUCGUGUUAAUACCGGCCGUACAAUUUUAUUAUCCUCGGCUGCAGUCCCGGCAAUCUACUCUUUUGCGAUACAUGCUUAGUACAACCGUUUGUUCCACUUUCGAAUCAUCUCUGUACUUCCCGCUUUAUUCCCUAUUGGUUCUUCGAUUCUUGUCCGCGCGUCUACUCACUUAGGUGAUCAAAGACAAAAGAAUGGUAGAUGACAUUUCAUAGUAGUCCAUUUGUUCAACGGUCCAUGUUACCUUGCUCGACCUGGACUUCAAUCGUCUGCGUAAUAUUCUUCAGUUGUGUAAAGAUAUAAUGGAAAUUACUUCGUUAUGAAAUUCUGCACUUUUGUCUAAACUGCUCGUUGAAUAAUGUAAAUAGAGGUUGUGAAUGCUUUUCAGACGAUGCAGUUUUACAGCAGACGACGUGCUAGUGAGAUUUCAAAAUGUUUUGUACAAUCUACACAAUAAAAGUUUCUAAGAAGAUUGCAAUUAUUUGAUUCCGAGGGAAAAUAUUAGACGGAUGCUGCGAAAUUCGAAAGGACAGAGUGAAAGUCGAAAAGACGCCAUGGUGAUUAACGGUAAAUUUAACAACUUUUGUCUCGAAAUGAGGUAAUAUUUCGUAUAUUUUAAGGAAGGUAAACGUAUUUAUAUGUUUGUUUCCUUUUUUUAGUUAGGUAAUUGGUAAUAUUUAUUCACUAUGCAAUUAACUCCAUUUAUUAUAAAUAUUUUGUGACAUUAAGUUAAUUAAUAUCUAAUAUAGCAAAUUUUAAAUUUACGGUGAAUUAAGAAUACCAAGAUGAAAAAUGCAAGAUUAAGGAAAUUACUUUUUUCUUUCGAAUAUAUUAAAUUAUGUUUCCGAAGAAAUUGAAAAGAUUAUUUAACAUAAAUUUGACAUAGAUUUUCCCCGAUUCUGUUUCAUUUGAGUAAGAAAUUCAAAUAACUUUUUCAUUUUGUUUCAUUUUCAUUCAUUUUGUUUGUUUGUAAAUUAUCUGUAAUAUAAUAUUGACUAUUAAUUUCGUCAUUUUCAUUUUCAAUAACUUCUAUUACAUUCGAGAAAGUACGCUAUCAGAGACAAGUUUGAACAGGUUCUGUGCAUCGCAUUUUUUUCGUAUUGUGCAGCUUUGUUUAACGGUCAGAAAAAGUGCGCCAUGUUGCAUUAGAAGGAAGUCACGUAACGCAUAAAGUACUAGAAGCUGUAAUGGCGGACAUUCAAUUUGGCGGGUAAUUUUUACAAAUCAAUCGUAUUAUGAAAUAUUCAUAUAUAUAUAUACAUUUUCUUUCGUAUUCUUGGUAUGAUAUUUGUAUGUAUAUUUUACCUAUUGUAAAUAAAUAAUAAUUAAUUCGUAGUUCUAAAAAAGGAGUAUUUUCAAAAACAAACACUCGACUCCCUAUCCCCUACCUUUUAUAAAGUUUUUCUUUUAGAAUAUUUUUGUGACCGCGCGCAAUGCGGUUGGUAGAGUCAGUGCUUGCUGCGUUAAAUCACAUUUAAUAUUGACUUAGAACAUAACAACUUUCAUUAAAUUUAAUUGUAAUAAUCAGACGCGA